CGGAGGGUGCGAGCGUUAAUCGGAAUUACUGGGCGUAAAGCGCACGUAGGCGGUCAGGCAAGUCGGGUGUGAAAGCCCUGGGCUCAACCUGGGAAUUGCAUUCGAAACUAUCUGACUAGAGUAUGGGAGAGGGAAGCGGAAUUUCCGGUGUAGCGGUGAAAUGCGUAGAUAUCUGGAGGAAUACCGGUGGCGAAGGCGGCAUCCUGGACCGACAUUGACGCUGAACGGCGAAAGCUAGGGGAGCAAACGGGAUUAGAUACCCCGGUAGUCCUAGCCCUAAACGAUGAAUGCUUGGUGUGGCGGGUAUCGAUCCCUGCCGUGCCGAAGCUAACGCAUUAAGCAUUCCGCCUGGGGAGUACGGUCGCAAGGCUG
RNAcentral lists this ribosomal RNA (372 nucleotides) under uncultured organism. Its description in RNAcentral is "bacterial SSU rRNA". It matches the Rfam family "Bacterial small subunit ribosomal RNA", at positions 526 to 896 of the family's 1533-position model. The record is from RNAcentral.